UGAAAUGUGGGCUAGUAGGGGUAAUGCACAUUUGUAGGCAUUGGAUAACUUUGGUACUGUGUUGUAAUGUUAUGUUCCCUUUGUACCUUGAAACUUUGGACAACUGCUCUAUGAUGUUAUGUGAUUCCUGUUUGUUUGUCACAUUGAGGCUUGGGCAACAAUUCUAUGAUGAUCUGUUAUUUCUCUUUCUAUCUCAGUUUGAGGCUUGGACAACAAUGCUAUGAUGAUCUGUUAUUCCUCUUUCUAUCUCAG
This 252-nucleotide long non-coding RNA is filed under the name Setaria viridis. RNAcentral's name for it is "long non-coding RNA (SVIR_LNC009968)". The record is from RNAcentral. Lineage: Eukaryota; Viridiplantae; Streptophyta; Magnoliopsida; Poales; Poaceae.